GACAGAGGGUGCGAACGUUGUUCGGAAUUACUGGGCGUAAAGCGCGUGUAGGCGGUUUGGCAAGUCGGAUGUGAAAGCCCAGGGCUCAACCCUGGAAGUGCACUCGAAACUGCCGAACUGGAGUCCCGGAGAGGAAGGCGGAAUUCUCGGUGUAGAGGUGAAAUUCGUAGAUAUCGAGAGGAACACCUGUGGCGAAGGCGGCCUUCUGGACGGUGACUGACGCUGAGACGCGAAAGCGUGGGGAGCAAACAGG
Molecule: ribosomal RNA, 253 nt
Filed under: uncultured bacterium
Lineage: Bacteria
Description: partial 16S ribosomal RNA
Rfam family: Bacterial small subunit ribosomal RNA
Source: RNAcentral